CCUACGGGAGGCAGCAGUAGGGAAUCUUGCGCAAUGGGCGAAAGCCUGACGCAGCCAUGCCGCGUGAAUGAUGAAGGUCUUAGGAUUGUAAAAUUCUUUCACCGGGGACGAUAAUGACGGUACCCGGAGAAGAAGCCCCGGCUAACUUCGUGCCAGCAGCCGCGGUAAUACGAAGGGGGCUAGCGUUGCUCGGAAUUACUGGGCGUAAAGGGCGCGUAGGCGGAUAGUUUAGUCAGAGGUAAAAGCCCAGGGCUCAACCUUGGAACUGCCUUUGAUACUGGCUAUCUUGAGUACGGGAGAGGUGUGUGGAACUCCGAGUGUAGAGGUGAAAUUCGUAGAUAUUCGGAAGAACACCAGUGGCGAAGGCGACACACUGGCCCGUUACUGACGCUGAGGCGCGAAAGCGUGGGGAGCAAACAGGAUUAGAUACCCUGGUAGUCCACGCCGUAAACGAUGAGUGCUAGUUGUCGGCAUGCAUGCAUGUCGGUGACGCAGCUAACGCAUUAAGCACUCCGCCUGGGGAGUACGGUCGCAAGAUUAAAAACUCAAAAUGAAUUGACGG
RNAcentral lists this ribosomal RNA (562 nucleotides) under uncultured bacterium. RNAcentral describes it as "bacterial SSU rRNA". It matches the Rfam family "Bacterial small subunit ribosomal RNA", at positions 338 to 916 of the family's 1533-position model. The record is from RNAcentral.